CUGAUAGUCUUCUCUGAGGGUACCAAUCAAAGGUCAAGACCUUUUUCACAACAUCACUGAUCUUCCUUGAAAAUCCAUGGAGAGUGGAUAGAUCAGAUAGUGGAGUGGUAACUGAAGAAAUAAAGAGGAAGUUGCUCAGGACAGAAGAUAAAAACAUGAGACAAAGGAAACAAACUGCUCUUGGAUAGGGUGCUUCUGAGGCUGGGAUUCUUCCCAGGGAAGACCACGCUGCGGAUCUACUGCUGCAUAAGGAGCCAUGCCAAAAGAGCUCCACUCAGAAGACACCUGGAAUGGGGCUCAUCCCAGACUCAGCCAGGAGGGACAGACCUUAACCUUGGCUGGGACCCAGAAGGCAGAGGAUAGAAAAGAAAAAGGAAGUAAAGAGGAAAUAGAGAAAGCAAACUCUAUGUGGACUGAAAUACAACCUGCUGGGAAGACUGGAAAACGGUUUAGAGUCCUCUGGAUGCCAGAUGUGUUCGUGACCCAGCUACAAGGAAACUGGAUUCUUUCUGGUCACGUUGGAUAUCUGCAUGCGCUUCUAAGUGUUGUAUUGCAUAAAGCAUGUGAACUCUUAGUUUCAUCAUGUAGGAUCCAGCUCCCUGACCAGGGAUUGAACUUGGGGCCCCUGCGUUGGAAGCAUCGAGUCCCAGCCUCUGGACAACCAGGGAAGUCCCUACAGCUCCAUUUUCAAUCAAGAACACUGAGGCUCAGUGGAGAGGUCCUGGUAAGGAACAAGGAACUAAUAAGCCACCACCAACCAGAAGAGUUCAGGAAAUGUCAAAAGGAGACACCACAUGUCCGACCACCUCCCAGAAUCCUCACUGGCAUCCAUCUUGGCUGAACAAGGUGUGCACCACCAGGAGGGAGUCUUAGUCAGAAUGACUGGAUAAAGACAACCCAGAAACUAAUCCCAUCACCAUAAAACCAAGACUGCAGCCAUGUGGCAGAGCAGUUCUCCUGUGUUCCCUUGCCCUACUGCUCUCCACCCAGGCACCCUUUCCCAAUAAAAUUUCUUGCUUUGUCUGCAC
Bos taurus (domestic cattle) is the source of this 1028-nucleotide long non-coding RNA. The record is from Ensembl. Lineage: Eukaryota; Metazoa; Chordata; Mammalia; Artiodactyla; Bovidae.